Molecule: ribosomal RNA, 468 nt
Filed under: uncultured bacterium
Lineage: Bacteria
Description: partial 16S ribosomal RNA
Rfam family: Bacterial small subunit ribosomal RNA
Source: RNAcentral
GACGAACGCUGGCGGCGUGCUUAACACAUGCAAGUCGAACGGAAAGGCCCUGCUUUUGUGGGGUGCUCGAGUGGCGAACGGGUGAGUAACACGUGAGUAACCUGCCCUUGACUUUGGGAUAACUUCAGGAAACUGGGGCUAAUACCGGAUAGGCGCUCCUGCUGCAUGGUGGGGGUUGGAAAGUUUCGGCGGUUGGGGAUGGACUCGCGGCUUAUCAGCUUGUUGGUGGGGUAGUGGCUUACCAAGGCUUUGACGGGUAGCCGGCCUGAGAGGGUGACCGGCCACAUUGGGACUGAGAUACGGCCCAGACUCCUACGGGAGGCAGCAGUGGGGAAUAUUGCAGAAUGGGCGGAAGCGUGAUGCAGCAACGCCGCGUGCGGGAUGACGGCCUUCGGGUUGUAAACCGCUUUCGCCUGUGACGAAGCGUGAGUGACGGUAAUGGGUAAAGAAGCACCGGCUAACUACGUG